RNAcentral lists this ribosomal RNA (253 nucleotides) under uncultured bacterium. RNAcentral describes it as "partial 16S ribosomal RNA". It matches the Rfam family "Bacterial small subunit ribosomal RNA", at positions 524 to 776 of the family's 1533-position model. The record is from RNAcentral.
UACGGAGGGUGCGAGCGUUAUCCGGAUUCACUGGGUUUAAAGGGUGCGUAGGUGGGCAGGUAAGUCAGUGGUGAAAUCUCCGGGCUUAACCCGGAAACUGCCAUUGAUACUAUCAGUCUUGAAUACCGUGGAGGUAAGCGGAAUAUGUCAUGCAGCGGUGAAAUGCUUAGAUAUGACAUAGAACACCAAUUGCGAAGGCAGCUUACUACCCGAAUAUUGACACUGAGGCACGAAAGCGUGGGGAUCAAACAGG